Molecule: ribosomal RNA, 460 nt
Filed under: uncultured bacterium
Lineage: Bacteria
Description: partial 16S ribosomal RNA
Rfam family: Bacterial small subunit ribosomal RNA
Source: RNAcentral
CCUACGGGUGGCAGCAGUGAGGAAUAUUGGUCAAUGGGCGGAAGCCUGAACCAGCCAAGUCGCGUGAGGGAAUAAGGCCCUACGGGUCGUAAACCUCUUUUGCCGGGGAGCAAGGGCGGGGACGUGUCCCGGCCCGGAGAGUACCCGGAGAAAAAGCAUCGGCUAACUCCGUGCCAGCAGCCGCGGUAAUACGGGGGAUGCGAGCGUUAUCCGGCUUUAUUGGGUUAAAGGGGUGCGUAGGCGGGCUGUUAAGUCAGCGGUAAAAAUUGGGGGCGCAACCCCGUCCGGCCGUUGAAAUUGGGGGCCUGGAGUGGGCGAGAAGAAGGCGGAAUGCGUGGUGUAGCGGUGAAAUGCAUAGAUAUCACGCAGAACCCCGAUUGCGAAGGCAGCCUGCCGGCGCCCUACUGACGCUGAGGCACGAAAGUGCGGGGAUCGAACAGGAUUAGAUACCCGUGUAGUC